UUUUUUGGAUUUUCGGAUAGGGAUAAAUAAAUUGCAGCAGCAGUAAGAUAGGAAACCAGAACCUGUUGCAAUUCACGGGGAGAUCAAAGGUUGAUCUGCGGUGGUGGAGAUGAUGGUGGAAUUCGGCAACGAUCUUUUAAGCAAUUGUGGGAAUUGCUUUGGAUGGUUGUGGAGGGUUGAUGGAUGGCUGUGGAAGGGCAGCGAGACGCCAAGAACACUGCUCUGAUACCAGGUGUUAGAACCCUUGCAGAUUCUAA
Molecule: long non-coding RNA, 257 nt
Filed under: Musa acuminata (dwarf banana)
Lineage: Eukaryota; Viridiplantae; Streptophyta; Magnoliopsida; Zingiberales; Musaceae
Description: long non-coding RNA (MACU_LNC007614)
Source: RNAcentral